Coturnix japonica (Japanese quail) is the source of this 2819-nucleotide non-coding RNA. Lineage: Eukaryota; Metazoa; Chordata; Aves; Galliformes; Phasianidae. The record is from RefSeq and is a predicted model, not a curated record.
UUUGUUUUAAAUUUAUUUAUUCUUUUUCAGAGUAGAAGAGACUUUCUAGAUGAAUAGUUCUUGACCCACAGUUUCUUGCAUAUUGUAGUGAAAAUGCUAAGUCUGGGCUUGAAGAAGUGAUUUAGCACCUGGUGAGAAGGCAGGGCCAACCCAGGGGAGCUCAGGUGUAUGCAAUGCACUGAGUGGCCAGAAGGGCUGGAGCCAGGAUCCACCCUUGCCCAGACUUCAUCUAAGGGUUGGCAGCAGAAGCAAAGAUGUUUCUCUGGAUAUCCCUGUGUGUCUGAGGCCUUCUGAAUAAUCUCCUGGGAGCAACAAGAGCCUCUGAAGAAGCAAUAUUUGGAUGGGAAACUUAUGUCCUCCAAGCUGGCGAGUUGCAACACUGACACAGAUUUUUCUUGUCACUGCAAAACUCUCCCUGUUAAAGCACCACGGACAGCUCCGGGCCGCUCAGUGCUGCUGUUCCGUCUCUUGGGUCAACUUGGGUUGUCACCGUCCCCAAAGGAAAGGAAAUAAAAGGAGGGAGAUCCAUGCUCUACCCAUCUCUGUGCCGGCCCCAGCAGUGGGAAUAUUGUCCAGGUCCAACCACAGCCUCCAUUUGUUGCAUUGUUUCUUUACCACUGGGAACCUCAGCGAUGAUAAAUACUUGAAGGAGCUUGGAGUUCUGAUCCGAUCCCGCAGGCUGACCCGUGGUCUACAGAACACCUGAGCAAGCAGAGCCCUGGGCAGCAGCAAGGGCUGCUAUCACCUUCCCUCCAUGGAAGAUGCAAGAGGGCAUUUAGAAGCUCCACAGCACCACUCAGUCUGUUAUCCUCGUGCUGCAAAUGAAUGGAAAGAUAAUCUAUUGUGCACAAAAGAAGCAAACACAAAGCCAUUGUUAAGUGCCAGGAUGGAAGGGAUGUUUGCACAGUGCGUGGCCUGGCUGAGGUUUUAUCCUUCUUGCUCAAGUCCUUGUAUUAUUUCAGUAAUGAACAGAGCAGAAAAGGCUUCGUUCUGCUCUUUAAAAGCAGUGCAACAGAAUUUCCAACUGUGAGGCUCGAACAGAAGCAUCUGAUGAGUUAAAAAUACAACACACAAAAAAACAAAGGGAAAGGCAAUGCCUCCAGUGGAACUAGCUGUGCUACCACCUGGAAAUGUUGGAUACACCUGUGAAGGCUCCAGGAAUUCAUAGGACACAAAGGCAAGAAGUGUGUGUUCUGUUUGCACUAGGAAAAGAAAACUCAAGGCAAAUUACAAGGAGAGAGCUGUAACCAACCCCAUACUGCCUGGGGCUCUGCAGCUGAGCUCUGGCUGUGCCUCUGGGUCAUCCCAGACUCCUGCAGCAAUGGGAAUGGACUCAUCUCUUCACCAAAACAAGUGGCAGAGAGCUGAGGAACAUUAUCUACAUUGUUUUAAUGAGGAAGUUCCCCAUGGCUUGUGCUGGAGGAAGGUCCUGCAACCACACACUGUGCUCUGUUCCAGCUCCCUUCCUAUUCAUCUUCUGCACCUCCACAGUUCUUCAGCUGCUCCUUUAUUUCUGGUUUAUAAUGCAAGAGGCUGGCUCCCACCAUUCCUGAUGAGCACUGCUGGUUGCUGACCUGUUCUUGCCUGGUAUCCCCCAAGCAAUAGGGGAUGGAUUGAAGUCUGGCAGAGUCUGUCAGACUUCCUGCUUCUGAGUCCUCCACCUGCUUCUGAGCUGGGACGUGAUGUGCUGCAGGGAAUGAGUUGUUUCCUAAAACUUAGUAAAAAGCAAGCCAUCUUUUCAGAUCCAUACAUUCAUCUUGCUUUUCUUUUCUAUUUCCUCAGUCCUUUGGGUGCCUUUUGGACACCUAAUGCAACCCAAUACAAUUAGGGGGCAUAAACACAUGGUCAGCCAAGGAGUGAAGCAAAGAACCACACAUGGGGGCAAUUUGGAAGACCCAAAUUAAGUCCCCUUGCUGUGCUUUGGCCAAACACACCACCUCUAUUUGGUGUCUGUGUUGGGAGUGAAUCAAGGCAGCUCCAACCAAGGUGUUCCUGGAUAUCAGUAGUACAUGGGCACGCAUAGGAGUGUUUUUCAAGAUGGAGAAAAAAAAAAGAAACAGCCUGUAAAUACUUGUAACCCCAGGGCAACAGAACACAUAUCCUGGCAACGCAUGUGGGUUUUACUCUUCCAUGACAAUUUGCUUUGCUAUUCAUGAAAAAAGAUGUUGGUGCUGUUACCUUAGCAACUGCCGCAUCACGUUACGGCAAUGCUCUGCCCGAGGUGCAUGAAGCCCUGCCUUAAAGGAGCACAUCUCUCUCUCCUGUGCCUCUCCCUAUGGAAAUAGAGCCCAGCUGAGCUGGGAUCCUCACCAGGAAAGCCUCAGAAGUUGGUAAUGAAGCAGGAGGAAAUAUGUUCCUUUAGAUGUUCUGUUUGGAGCUGUGUCUGAUUGUGGCUUAGAGCCACUUUGGACAAUAUGCUGUAUACACUUGAGCAAAAGGGAACUAUUUUCCCAAAGUAUUUUCACUUUUUAAGGGAUGAAAAAGGGCAAUAAGGGACACUGGCAGGCUGGAUGUAUAGUGUGGAACAUCUUUGUCUAGGUGCCUCCACCCAUUGUGUCCACAUUAUCAUCUUCUACCAGACUGGGCCAAUUUCCCAAGAAAUGACAGAUUUUGCCUUCCUUUGUGUUGACUUCAAUAGAGAAAUUCCCCUUUGCAGGUGGAAGGGUUGCACCCCCUUCUCUCAGCCCCAUGGCAGCAUCUCCAGACCUCACAGCUCUGAGUCCUUUCCAACUUCCUGCAGGUGUUUUCUGAAUCAAGGCAAGACACCAUGGGAAUUAUAAGACCCAACUUACAUUGCUGUGUCACCAUGGGCAGUUUUU